UGUUAUGGCUGUUUUUACUUUGGUGUAGAAGGCAACCCAGCUAAGAAAUAGAGUUUCAGAGACAUGAAGAGUGUGAAGUGAAUAACCUGCCAUGUGUAUGUACAUGUACCAGAUCUGCUUGAUGAAAGUGAAAUGCCUUACUAAAUUCAUCACCCAUAUGAUAAGCAUCAGGAAAUUUAUCUCAACAUAUGGAUGGAGUAAUGCUGUUGGUUGCUAUGGAUUC
This is a long non-coding RNA of Daphnia pulicaria, 223 nucleotides long. RefSeq lists it as uncharacterized. Lineage: Eukaryota; Metazoa; Arthropoda; Branchiopoda; Diplostraca; Daphniidae. The record is from RefSeq and is a predicted model, not a curated record. The transcript is spliced from 3 exons.